CCGAACGCAAUGAGAAAGAAGAGUAGCACGGCGACACCGCAAGCGAGCCCCGGUUGGUGGAAGGGGGCCGGAAGGUUGCCGUGUGAAAAUCACUUUCGAGCCUGAGCCAACCAAGGUUCAGUGGUACACACCCAUUAUCGUGUGCGCGUAUCGCCUACUGGGCCGUACGCAGUAAGGUUGGCCUAGCGAUGGGCCGGCAAAGACCAAGGUGGUACCACGCAAAGCGUCCCUUAA
Molecule: non-coding RNA, 234 nt
Filed under: Limosilactobacillus fermentum
Lineage: Bacteria; Bacillati; Bacillota; Bacilli; Lactobacillales; Lactobacillaceae
Source: RNAcentral